Schizosaccharomyces pombe (fission yeast) is the source of this 424-nucleotide non-coding RNA. Lineage: Eukaryota; Fungi; Ascomycota; Schizosaccharomycetes; Schizosaccharomycetales; Schizosaccharomycetaceae. The record is from the annotation of a GenBank genome assembly.
AACAACACGAACUGCUAAAGGUUCUAAAUCGUAAUCGAUAAAUAUUCCUGGGGGAAGAGAACCGAAUCCUAGCUGACGAACGACGGAAUUUUCAGUUAAAGAGUAUUGAUUUGUCUCAAAUGAGCGGAAGGAAGAUUUGUAACUAGUUGGCAGAACCGAAAGGUAAUAUUGAAAUGCAAACGGAUGAUCAUUUGCAUGACCAUAGUGACCAUCAAGAGCGUUUACUAACGCAGGAUAAUACUCACCAAAAGACAGCUCUUCAAUAUAGUGAGUGAAGUUUAAAGAGUGAAAGGGGAUAUUCGAUCUUCCAUAACCCCAUCCAGGAGCUGUAAUAUGAAGUUGUCCAUUAACCCGAUUUACGACCAAUUGGCCGUAAAUUCGACAAGCUGUACCACUUCCAGGUUCAGCGUUAUUUUUCUUCCUG